RNAcentral lists this ribosomal RNA (274 nucleotides) under Sulfolobus sp. RNAcentral's name for it is "partial ribosomal RNA". It matches the Rfam family "Archaeal small subunit ribosomal RNA", at positions 1 to 252 of the family's 1478-position model. The record is from RNAcentral. Lineage: Archaea; Thermoproteati; Thermoproteota; Thermoprotei; Sulfolobales; Sulfolobaceae.
AAUCCGGUUGAUCCUGCCGGACCCGACCGCUAUCGGGGUGGGGCUAAGCCAUGGGAGUCGUACGCUCCCGGGCAAGGGAGCUGGCGGACGGCUGAGUAACACGUGGCUAACCUACCCUGAGGAGGGAGAUAACCCCGGGAAACUGGGGAUAAUCUCCCAUAGGCGAGGAGUCCUGGAACGGUUCCUCGCUGAAAGGUUCAUGGGCUAUUUCCCGCUCAUGAGCGCCUCAGGAUGGGGCUGCGGCCAUCAGGUAGUUGGGGGGGUAAGGGCCCCC